AACGAACGCUGGCGGCAGGCUUAACACAUGCAAGUCGAACGGGUGUAGCAAUACAUCAGUGGCAGACGGGUGAGCAACACGUGGGAACCUUCCUCGUUGUACGGAAUAACUCAGGGAAACUUGAGCUAAUACCGUAUACGUCCGAGAGGAGAAAGAUUUAUCGCAAUGAGACGGGCCCGCGUCGGAUUAGGUAGUUGGUGGGGUAACGGCCUACAAGCCUACGAUCCGUAGCUGAUCUGAGAGGAUGAUCAGCCACACUGGGACUGAGACACGGCCCAGACUCCUACGGGAGGCAGCAGUGGGGAAUCUUGGACAAUGGGCGCAAGCCUGAUCCAGCCAUGCCGCGUGAGUGAAGAAGGCCUUCGGGUUGUAAAGCUCUUUUGUCAGGGACGAUAAUGACGGUAUCUGAAGAAUAAGCCCCGGCAAACUUCGUGCCAGCCGCCGCCGUAA
RNAcentral lists this ribosomal RNA (450 nucleotides) under uncultured bacterium. RNAcentral describes it as "partial 16S ribosomal RNA". It matches the Rfam family "Bacterial small subunit ribosomal RNA", at positions 29 to 523 of the family's 1533-position model. The record is from RNAcentral.